CCUACGGGAGGCAGCAGUGGGGGAUAUUGCACAAUGGGGGAAACCCUGAUGCAGCGACGCCGCGUGGGUGAAGAAGCGCCUCGGCGCGUAAAGCCCUGUCAGCAGGGAAGAAAAUUACGGUACCUGAAGAAGACGCCCCGGCUACCUACGUGCCAGCCGCCGCGGUAAUACGUAGGGGGCAAGCGUUAUCCGGAUUUACUGGGUGUAAAGGGGGCGCAGACGGCGAUGCAAGCCAGGAGUGAAAGCCCGGGGCCCAACCCCGGGACUGCUCUUGGAACUGCGUGGCUAGAGUGCAGGAGGGGCAGGCGGAAUUCCUGGUGUAGCGGUGAAAUGCGUAGAUAUCAGGAGGAACACCGGUGGCGAAGGCGGCCUGCUGGACUGAAACUGACGUUGAGGCCCGAAAGCGUGGGGAGCAAACAGGAUUAGAUACCCUUGUAGUC
RNAcentral lists this ribosomal RNA (440 nucleotides) under uncultured bacterium. RNAcentral's name for it is "partial 16S ribosomal RNA". It matches the Rfam family "Bacterial small subunit ribosomal RNA", at positions 338 to 795 of the family's 1533-position model. The record is from RNAcentral.